Molecule: long non-coding RNA, 199 nt
Filed under: Nicotiana benthamiana
Lineage: Eukaryota; Viridiplantae; Streptophyta; Magnoliopsida; Solanales; Solanaceae
Description: long non-coding RNA (NBEN_LNC002149)
Source: RNAcentral
UAUAUAUAUACGUCAGAAUCUUCCCGUUAUAAUAGAUCAAAUUUACUGCGAAAUUUCACUCAAAAGACAGAAUCAACAACAACAACAACCCAGUAUAAUCCCACUUAGUGGGAUCUGGGGAGCGUAGUGUGUACGCAAACCUUACUUAUACCCUUGAGUAGAUAGGCUGUUUCCAAAUAGACCCCAGCAUUCUUCCCUC